CCUACGGGUGGCUGCAGUGGGGAAUAUUGGACAAUGGGGGCAACCCUGAUCCAGCCAUGCCGCGUGUGUGAAGAAGGCCCUCGGGUUGUAAAGCACUUUCAGUGAGGAAGAACGCCUGGUGGUUAAUACCCAUCAGGAAAGACAUCACUCACAGAAGAAGCACCGGCUAACUCCGUGCCAGCAGCCGCGGUAAUACGGAGGGUGCGAGCGUUAAUCGGAAUUACUAGGCGUAAAGCGCGCGUAGGUGGCUUGAUAAGCCGGUUGUGAAAGCCCCGGGCUCAACCUGGGAACGGCAUCCGGAACUGUCAAGCUAGAGUGCAGGAGAGGAAGGUAGAAUUCCCGGUGUAGCGGUGAAAUGCGUAGAGAUCGGGAGGAAUACCAGUGGCGAAGGCGGCCUUCUGGACUGACACUGACACUGAGGUGCGAAAGCGUGGGUAGCAAACAGGAUUAGAUACCCGAGUAGUC
Molecule: ribosomal RNA, 465 nt
Filed under: Vreelandella stevensii
Lineage: Bacteria; Pseudomonadati; Pseudomonadota; Gammaproteobacteria; Oceanospirillales; Halomonadaceae
Description: partial 16S ribosomal RNA
Rfam family: Bacterial small subunit ribosomal RNA
Source: RNAcentral